UACGUAGGGUCCAAGCGUUAUCCGGAUUUACUGGGUGUAAAGGGCGAGUAGACGGUUGUGCAAGUCAGCUGUGAAAACUUGGGGCUCAACCCCAAGACUGCAGCUGAAACUGUGCGACUAGAGUGCAGGAGAGGAAAGUGGAAUUCCUAGUGUAGCGGUGAAAUGCGUAGAUAUUAGGAGGAACACCAGUGGCGAAGGCGACUUUCUGGACUGUAACUGACGUUGAGGCGCGAAAGUGUGGGGAGCAAAC
RNAcentral lists this ribosomal RNA (250 nucleotides) under uncultured bacterium. Its description in RNAcentral is "partial 16S ribosomal RNA". It matches the Rfam family "Bacterial small subunit ribosomal RNA", at positions 524 to 773 of the family's 1533-position model. The record is from RNAcentral.